GAUUUCUGGUACGGCGCACUUGGCCCGCCGCGGUUACGCGGUUGUGUGCCGGUGUGCGCCUGCCAUCCAUCUAGAGAGCGCUGUCGCCCUUCACUGGGUGGGCAGUGGUAUCUAGAUCUUUUACUUUGAAAAAAUUAGAGUGUUUAGAGCAGGCUUGUGCUGUGAAUACAUUAGCAUGGAAUAAUAAUUUAGGACUUUGGUCUUAUUUUGUUGGUUUCUAGGACUAAAGUAAUGAUUGAUAGGGACAGUUGGGGGUGCUAGUAUUCAGCGGCCAGAGGUGAAAUUCUUGGAUUCGCUGAAGACUAACUUAUGCGAAAGCAUU
RNAcentral lists this ribosomal RNA (322 nucleotides) under Cercomonas sp. RNAcentral describes it as "SSU rRNA". The stretch from base 81 to 322 matches the Rfam family "Eukaryotic small subunit ribosomal RNA", at positions 712 to 955 of the family's 1831-position model. The record is from RNAcentral. Lineage: Eukaryota; Cercozoa; Cercomonadida; Cercomonadidae.